RNAcentral lists this RNase P RNA (365 nucleotides) under bacterium 336/3. Its description in RNAcentral is "Bacterial RNase P class A". It matches the Rfam family "Bacterial RNase P class A". From Rfam's summary of the family: Ribonuclease P (RNase P) is a ubiquitous endoribonuclease, found in archaea, bacteria and eukarya as well as chloroplasts and mitochondria. Its best characterised activity is the generation of mature 5'-ends of tRNAs by cleaving the 5'-leader elements of precursor-tRNAs. The record is from Rfam by way of RNAcentral. Lineage: Bacteria; Pseudomonadati.
ACUACAAGUCGUCUUAUCGCUUUAUGAAAAUAAAGAGGAAAGUCUGGGCAACACAGAGCAACUUGCUUCCUAACGGGAAGGCAGCUAAAAAACUGACAGCCAGUGCCACAGAAAACAAACCGCCUGAAAAGGUAAGGGUGAAAAGGUAGUGUAAGAGACUACCGCUUUGUUGGUGACAACAAAGGCAGGGUAAACCUCAAGUGUUGAAAGACCAAAUAAGCCGAUGUUUACUUUUUUGUAAAAAAGGUUGCUCGCCUGAGUCGGCGGGUAGGUCGAUAAAGGCUUACUGUGAAGUAAGUCUUAGAUAAAUGAUAAGAAGCACAAUUUUUGUGUUACAGAACCCGGCUUACAGACUUGUAGUUUUU